Molecule: transfer RNA, 70 nt
Filed under: Pseudonocardia sp. SCN 72-86
Lineage: Bacteria; Bacillati; Actinomycetota; Actinomycetes; Pseudonocardiales; Pseudonocardiaceae
Description: tRNA-Thr
Source: RNAcentral
GUCCUAGUCGACGUUGUACGACUGCCUUGUAAGCGGUAGGUCGUCGGUUCGAUCCCGACCUCCGGCUCCA